UACGAAGGGGGGCUAGCGUUGCUCGGAGUUACUGGGCGUAAAGGGUGUGUAGGCGGUUUUUCUAAGUUUGGUGUGAAAUCUCCCGGCUCAACCGGGAGGGUGCGCCGAAAACUGGGAGACUAGAGUGCGGGAUGGGAGAGUAGAAUUCCUGGUGUAGCGGUGAAAUGCGUAGAUAUCAGGAGGAAUACCGGUGGUGUAGACGGCUCUCUGGACCGCCACUGACGCUGAGACACGAAAGCGUGGGUAGCAAACAGG
This 255-nucleotide ribosomal RNA is filed under the name uncultured bacterium. Its description in RNAcentral is "partial 16S ribosomal RNA". It matches the Rfam family "Bacterial small subunit ribosomal RNA", at positions 524 to 776 of the family's 1533-position model. The record is from RNAcentral.